RNAcentral lists this ribosomal RNA (857 nucleotides) under bacterium RSB-1-14. RNAcentral describes it as "bacterial SSU rRNA". It matches the Rfam family "Bacterial small subunit ribosomal RNA", at positions 37 to 902 of the family's 1533-position model. The record is from RNAcentral.
UGGCGGCGUGCUUAACACAUGCAAGUCGAACGGUGAACACGGAGCUUGCUCUGUGGGAUCAGUGGCGAACGGGUGAGUAACACGUGAGCAACCUACCCCUGACUCUGGGAUAAGCGCUGGAAACGGCGUCUAAUACUGGAUACGAGUGGCGACCGCAUGGUCAGCUACUGGAAAGAUUUAUUGGUUGGGGAUGGGCUCGCGGCCUAUCAGCUUGUUGGUGAGGUAAUGGCUCACCAAGGCGUCGACGGGUAGCCGGCCUGAGAGGGUGACCGGCCACACUGGGACUGAGACACGGCCCAGACUCCUACGGGAGGCAGCAGUGGGGAAUAUUGCACAAUGGGCGCAAGCCUGAUGCAGCAACGCCGCGUGAGGGAUGACGGCCUUCGGGUUGUAAACCUCUUUUAGCAGGGAAGAAGCGAAAGUGACGGUACCUGCAGAAAAAGCGCCGGCUAACUACGUGCCAGCAGCCGCGGUAAUACGUAGGGCGCAAGCGUUAUCCGGAAUUAUUGGGCGUAAAGAGCUCGUAGGCGGUUUGUCGCGUCUGCUGUGAAAUCCGGAGGCUCAACCUCCGGCCUGCAGUGGGUACGGGCAGACUAGAGUGCGGUAGGGGAGAUUGGAAUUCCUGGUGUAGCGGUGGAAUGCGCAGAUAUCAGGAGGAACACCGAUGGCGAAGGCAGAUCUCUGGGCCGUAACUGACGCUGAGGAGCGAAAGGGUGGGGAGCAAACAGGCUUAGAUACCCUGGUAGUCCACCCCGUAAACGUUGGGAACUAGUUGUGGGGUCCAUUCCACGGAUUCCGUGACGCAGCUAACGCAUUAAGUUCCCCGCCUGGGGAGUACGGCCGCAAGGCUAAAACUC